GUAGGGAAUAUUGCGCAAUGGGGGAAACCCUGACGCAGCGACGCCGCGUGAGUGAUGAAGGCCUUCGGGUCGUAAAGCUCUGUUGCAGGGGAAUAAAAAAAUGAAGGUACCCUGUGAGGAAGGAUCGGCUAACUUCGUGCCAGCAGCCGCGGUAAGACGAGGGAUCCUAGCGUUGCUCGGAAUCAUUGGGCGUAAAGAGGGCGUAGGUGGCUUGGUAAGUCAGGUGUGAAAGCCCAGGGCUCAACCCUGGAAGUGCAUUUUGUACUACUGAGCUUGAGUGUCGGAGAGGUUACCGGAAUACCUGGUGUAGUGGUGAAAUACGUAGAUAUCAGGUGGAACACCGGAGGCGAAGGCGGGUAACUGGACGAACACUGACACUGAGGCCCGAAAGCGUGGGGAUCAAACAGGAUUAGAAACCCCGGUAGUCC
RNAcentral lists this ribosomal RNA (428 nucleotides) under uncultured bacterium. RNAcentral's name for it is "partial 16S ribosomal RNA". It matches the Rfam family "Bacterial small subunit ribosomal RNA", at positions 354 to 796 of the family's 1533-position model. The record is from RNAcentral.